Molecule: transfer RNA, 70 nt
Filed under: Ictidomys tridecemlineatus (thirteen-lined ground squirrel)
Lineage: Eukaryota; Metazoa; Chordata; Mammalia; Rodentia; Sciuridae
Description: Spermophilus tridecemlineatus (thirteen-lined ground squirrel) tRNA
Rfam family: tRNA
About the family: Transfer RNA (tRNA) molecules are approximately 80 nucleotides in length. Their secondary structure includes four short double-helical elements and three loops (D, anti-codon, and T loops). Further hydrogen bonds mediate the characteristic L-shaped molecular structure. tRNAs have two regions of fundamental functional importance: the anti-codon, which is responsible for specific mRNA codon recognition, and the 3' end, to which the tRNAs corresponding amino acid is attached (by aminoacyl-tRNA synthetases). tRNAs cope with the degeneracy of the genetic code in two manners: having more than one tRNA (with a specific anti-codon) for a particular amino acid; and 'wobble' base-pairing, i.e. permitting non-standard base-pairing at the 3rd anti-codon position.
Source: Rfam by way of RNAcentral
AGGGAUGGAGCUUAGUGGUAGAGUGUUUGCUUAGUAUGCAGGAGGCCCUGGGUUCAAUUCCUAGCACUUA